UUUUUGCAAUAACAUGCAAUCAAUACAACUUUCAACAACGGAUCUCUUGGCUCUCGCAUCGAUGAAGAACGCAGCGAAAUGCGAUACGUAAUGUGAAUUGCAGAAUUCAGUGAAUCAUCGAAUCUUUGAACGCACCUUGCGCCCCUUGGCAUUCCGAGGGGCACACCCGUUUGAGUGUCGUGAAAUUCUCAAAACCCUUUCUUUUGGUCUUUUUGNCNGUGGAAAGGAUUUUGGACUUGGAGGCCUUUUGCUGGUUUCACCUUGAAGCGAGCUCCUCCUAAAUGAAUUAGUGGGGUCUGCUUUGUCGGUCCUUGGCGUGAUAAGUCGUUUCUACGUCUCGGAUUUUUGGCACUGUACACCUGCUUCUAACCGUCUCAUCGACAACGAUGGUGCUCCGGUCACCGCCGAUUCUUCGGUUGGGAGGCUUGACCCACGAAACAAACCUUGACCUCAAAUCGGGUGAGACUACCCGCUGAACUUAAGCAUAUCAAUAAGCGGAGGAAAAGAAACU
Molecule: ribosomal RNA, 511 nt
Filed under: uncultured fungus
Lineage: Eukaryota; Fungi
Description: eukaryotic LSU rRNA
Rfam family: 5.8S ribosomal RNA (bases 27-180)
Source: RNAcentral